GACGAACGCUGGCGGCGUGCCUAAUACAUGCAAGUAGAACGCUGAAGGAGGAGCUUGCUUCUCUGGAUGAGUUGCGAACGGGUGAGUAACGCGUAGGUAACCUGCCUGGUAGCGGGGGAUAACUAUUGGAAACGAUAGCUAAUACCGCAUAAGAGUAGAUGUUGCAUGACAUUUGCUUAAAAGGUGCAAUUGCAUCACUACCAGAUGGACCUGCGUUGUAUUAGCUAGUUGGUGGGGUAACGGCUCACCAAGGCGACGAUACAUAGCCGACCUGAGAGGGUGAUCGGCCACACUGGGACUGAGACACGGCCCAGACUCCUACGGGAGGCAGCAGUAGGGAAUCUUCGGCAAUGGACGGAAGUCUGACCGAGCAACGCCGCGUGAGUGAAGAAGGUUUUCGGAUCGUAAAGCUCUGUUGUAAGAGAAGAACGAGUGUGGGAGUGGAAAGUUCACACUGUGACGGUAUCUUACCAGAAAGGGACGGCUAACUACG
RNAcentral lists this ribosomal RNA (493 nucleotides) under uncultured bacterium. Its description in RNAcentral is "partial 16S ribosomal RNA". It matches the Rfam family "Bacterial small subunit ribosomal RNA", at positions 28 to 505 of the family's 1533-position model. The record is from RNAcentral.